GACGAACGCUGGCGGCGUGCUUAACACAUGCAAGUCGAACGGUGAAGCGCCUUCCUUUUUGGUGGGUGUGGAUGAGUGGCGAACGGGUGAGUAACACGUGAGUAACCUGCCCCCUUCUUCUGGAUAACCGCAUGAAAGUGUGGCUAAUACGGGAUAUUCUGGGUCUGUCGCAUGAUGGGUCUGGGAAAGAUAUUGUUUCGGUGGGGGAUGGGCUCGCGGCCUAUCAGCUUGUUGGUGGGGUGGUGGCCUACCAAGGCGGGGACGGGUAGCCGGCCUGAGAGGGUGGACGGUCACGCUGGGACUGAGCCACGGCCCAGACUCCUACGGGAGGCAGCAGUGGGGAAUAUUGCACAAUGGGCGCAAGCCUGAUGCAGCGACGCCGCGUGAGGGAUGGAGGCCUUCGGGUUGUGAACCUCUUUCGCCAGUGAAGCAGGCCUGCCUCGUUUGUGGGUGGGUUGACGGUAGCUGGAUAAGAAGCGCCGGCUAACUACGUG
Molecule: ribosomal RNA, 494 nt
Filed under: uncultured bacterium
Lineage: Bacteria
Description: partial 16S ribosomal RNA
Rfam family: Bacterial small subunit ribosomal RNA
Source: RNAcentral